This 433-nucleotide ribosomal RNA is filed under the name uncultured bacterium. RNAcentral describes it as "partial 16S ribosomal RNA". It matches the Rfam family "Bacterial small subunit ribosomal RNA", at positions 29 to 507 of the family's 1533-position model. The record is from RNAcentral.
AACGAACGCUGGCGGCAUGCCUAACACAUGCAAGUCGAACGAGACCUUCGGGUUUAGUGGCGCCCGGGUUCGUAACGCGUGGGAACCUGCCCUUAGGUUCGGAAUAACUCCCCGAAAGGGGUGUUAAUACCGGAUAAUGUCUUCGGACCAAAGAUUUAUCGCCUUUGGAUGGGCCCGCGUUGGUUUAGCUUGUUGGUAGGGUAAAAGCCUACCAAGGCGACGAUCCAUAGCUGGUCUGAGAGGAUGAUCAGCCACACUGGGACUGAGACACGGCCCAGACUCCUACGGGAAGCAGCAGUGGGGAAUAUUGGACAAUGGGCGAAAGCCUGAUCCAGCAAUGCCGCGUGAGUGAUGAAGGCCUUAGGGUUGUAAAGCUCUUUUACCCGGGAUGAUAAUGACAGUACCGGGAGAAUAAGCUCCGGCUAACUCCGUG